GAGGUACUCUCUCCUAUCCAUAUUACUUGUUUUAAAUUUUGUCUAGAUACGAAUAUAUCUAGACAUGUUUUAGUAUUAAAUACAUCCGUAUCUAAAUAAAUUUAAGGCAAGUAGUAUGGAUAGAAGGGAGUAGUAU
Hordeum vulgare subsp. vulgare (domesticated barley) is the source of this 136-nucleotide non-coding RNA. The record is from Rfam. Lineage: Eukaryota; Viridiplantae; Streptophyta; Magnoliopsida; Poales; Poaceae.